Molecule: unclassified non-coding RNA, 351 nt
Filed under: Macrolepiota sp.
Lineage: Eukaryota; Fungi; Basidiomycota; Agaricomycetes; Agaricales; Agaricaceae
Description: partial internal transcribed spacer region
Rfam family: Eukaryotic small subunit ribosomal RNA (bases 1-46)
Source: RNAcentral
AAGUCGUAACAAGGUUUCCGUAGGUGAACCUGCGGAAGGAUCAUUAUUGAAUAUACUUGAUGGGUUGUAGCUGGCUCUCCGGAGCAAUGUGCACACCUGUCUUGCUUUUUAUUCAUCCACCUGUGCACUUUUUGUAGUCUUCUAGGGAUUGAGAGCAGCCAACUAUCGAACUUUCUCGGAUGUGAGGAAUGCUUGCGCACAAAAGUGCCAGCUCUCCUCAAAUGGUUGUGAACCUUUCCUGGAGUCUAUGUUUUUCAUAUACCACAUAGUAUGUUGCAGAAUGUAUUCAAUGGGCCUUUUUGUGCCUAUAAAUGAUCUAUACAACUUUCAGCAACGGAUCUCUUGGCUCUC